AGGACGAACGCUGGCGGCGUGCUUAACACAUGCAAGUCGAGCGGAAAGGCCAUUUCGGUGGUACUCGAGCGGCGAACGGGUGAGUAACACGUGAGUAAUCUGCCCCUGGCUUUGGGAUAGCCACCGGAAACGGUGAUUAAUACCGGAUACGACCCGCCCUCGCAUGGGGGUGUGUGGAAAGUUUUUCGGCCAAGGAUGUGCUCGCGGCCUAUCAGCUUGAUGGUGGGUAAUGGCUCACCAUGGCUUCGACGGGUAGCCGGCCUG
This 264-nucleotide ribosomal RNA is filed under the name uncultured soil bacterium. RNAcentral describes it as "partial 16S ribosomal RNA". It matches the Rfam family "Bacterial small subunit ribosomal RNA", at positions 26 to 294 of the family's 1533-position model. The record is from RNAcentral.